This 510-nucleotide ribosomal RNA is filed under the name uncultured bacterium. RNAcentral's name for it is "partial 16S ribosomal RNA". It matches the Rfam family "Bacterial small subunit ribosomal RNA", at positions 28 to 507 of the family's 1533-position model. The record is from RNAcentral.
GACGAACGCUGGCGGCGUGCUUAACACAUGCAAGUCGAACGAAGAGCGAUGGAAGCUUGCUUCUAUCAAUCUUAGUGGCGAACGGGUGAGUAACGCGUAAUCAACCUGCCCUUCAGAGGGGGACAACAGUUGGAAACGACUGCUAAUACCGCAUACGAUCUAAUCUCGGCAUCGAGGAUAGAUGAAAGGUGGCCUCUACAGGUAAGCUAGCACUGAAGGAGGGGAUUGCGGCUGAUUAGCUAGUUGGAGGGGUAACGGCCCACCAAGGCGAUGAUCAGUAGCCGGUCUGAGAGGAUGAACGGCCACAUUGGGACUGAGACACGGCCCAGACUCCUACGGGAGGCAGCAGUGGGGAAUCUUCCGCAAUGGACGAAAGUCUGACGGAGCAACGCCGCGGGAGUGAUGACGGCCUUCGGGUUGUAAAGCUCUGUUAAUCGGGACGAAAGGCCUUCUUGCGAAUAGUGAGAAGGAUUGACGGUACCGGAAUAGAAAGCCACGGCUAACUACGUG